This is a long non-coding RNA of Esox lucius (northern pike), 1874 nucleotides long. Lineage: Eukaryota; Metazoa; Chordata; Actinopteri; Esociformes; Esocidae. The record is from Ensembl.
ACCUUAUAAGUUUCGUUUCAGCUAGAUGCGCUGAUAUUUGUCAGGAUACCGAGGAACGGGAAAUACUUGCCUGGCAUAAGGAGAGACCAGCCUCGCAUACAUUUCUAUAAAAAAAAAUCCAGACUACAGUAAUACUCGUUUUAAGGAUUUUCGAAAACCGUUAACGUUUUUAUUAAACUAUUCCAUUAAAUGUGUACACAGGUUUUUACAAAUAUUUAACACUAACGGUACUGUACUUCCCUUCCUGCCUCCGCGUAAGUAAUUUUGUCUUCCGCAUAAUUUCGACAUAAUCUAUUCCAUACUUCAUCACCUUGAUCUUAAUAGUCAACCGUCGUUUUUUAGCUAUAGCCUAAUCAUUAUUUGUACUGGAGACAUUUAUGGCGACAUUGCAGUCAGUCUGCACAUACCCAAAGGACGUCUUAAGGGAGCGUCAACAAAGUGCGUGAUCAACGUUUUCAUAUCUCAACAACUCUGACUACAUUACCUAUAAACCUCAAACCAAUGUUAAACUGUUCAUGAAGAAAGGGAAAUAGACUGCUCUUUAUAGUGCUUAACUGUGAAACCAAAAGCUGUGCAAUGUCUGACCCUUCCCCAUGAAGAUGAUUUGAAGCAUCUAGAUCAGACCUGGGCAAGAUAAAGCCCCCGGGUUGGAUUCGGCCCGGUGAGUCAUUCUAUCUGGCCCGCGAUACAUCCAAAACUUUUAAAAUACAAAAUAAAAAAUAGCUGACGAGGUCAGCAGAUAAUGUUACUUUAUUUACUGUUGCAUAUUUAUUUAUUUUCAAAUUAAAAGUCAUGUGGCACUCCCAGUAAUAAGUCCAGCAGUAUCAUACUGUCUGUUUAAAAUACAUAUAAGUUGAAACAAGGUAUUUGCGUUGCUAUGAUACGUAGGGACCAGCACCACAAUCCACGCACAGAAGUUAUCAUUUGUACGUACUAUACGCAAAUGAUGGCUAGCGAUCUCUGGAAAUGAGCCUAAGAAAAUUUGUUAACGAACGCAGGGUAUUUAAAAAACUAUUGACAGGAAAAUAUUUAUUUGCAGAUGUCGCAGGUAAAGCAACUUGCUUAAUAUGUUGAGCUAAUGUCACAGUUUUUAAAGAGUACAAUUUGCAGAGGCACUUCCAGAGCAAGCAUGCAGCGGAAUACAAAAACUGUCACCCGAUGCUACAAUUCAACAAGCCCAAGCGCAGAUGCGGCCUCUCUGAUGAACAUCUUGCAGCAGUACCGCACACUGCUUCAACAGAACCGCACACUGCUUCAAUAGAACCGCACACUGCUUCAACAGAACCGCACACUGCUUCAACAGAACCGCACACUGCUUCAACAGAACCGCACACUGCUUCAAUAGAAACGCACACUGCUUAAACAGAAAAGACUCCUGACUUCACCUCACUUGUCAACGCCCAUACGAGGCUGUCCUGUUCAUAUUGAGUGAGUAGCCCUAAAAGUUGAUUUAUUGGGUCUGGGCUGCUGGAAUCGCUGUCGUUAAAAGGACGUAGUACUAUGAAGUUAGAUGAGGGAAAUUAAACCAACAUUUGCUUUGAGUGAAAAUCUUCAGAAGUGAUUUCAUAGACUUAUGUCUGCCCUAAUAACUAUUAUACCUAUAUAACUGUUAUACACUAUACCUUAUGUAAUGUAGCUUACUCUAUUGAGUUGAAAGUUAAGGAAAAUAUGUGUUGUAACAUUUCUGUUGAGUAAUAACCCUAAAAAGGGAUUUUUUAGGCCUUUGCCUGCCAUAAUAACAGUUGUUAACAGAAAAAAAAUAAUUGUUAAAGUAAAUUAGGUUCAUUAAGGGGUUCAAAAACCCCUUAAUGAUGAAAACAAUCUUGUGUUCUGUGACAAGCCCCAACCCCGGGCCUGGCUCCAGGGUGGGGCCC